Xenia sp. Carnegie-2017 is the source of this 536-nucleotide long non-coding RNA. RefSeq lists it as uncharacterized. Lineage: Eukaryota; Metazoa; Cnidaria; Anthozoa; Malacalcyonacea; Xeniidae. The record is from RefSeq and is a predicted model, not a curated record. The transcript is spliced from 3 exons.
UUGAAGCUGGAAAGUUGGCUACAUUAGAUGGUAUGCUCUAAAUCAAGAAAAUGAGACAAAGCAUGACUGCUACAUAGCGUGGAGCCUGACUACAUUCGUGAAGGAGGCAGCCUACCACUCGUUUUGACGCUUACUGAGACCACUGGCAAGGAUUGUGUGUUUUUACCAAUGGGAAGGUCUGAUGAUGGUGCGCAUUCCCAGAAUGAAAAGUUGAACAUUACAAAUUUUCAAGCUGGUAUGAAGCUGUUUGCUGCCUAUAUCAAUCAUCUUGGUGCGUUGACAAGUGGUGCAGAAAGCCAGAAAGCAUGAUCAAAUGAAACUGACAUUUGCUGAAUUGUUAAUACAAGCAAGUGAUUAAUCGCUAUUUUUUCUACCAUUGUCUUCAUUAAAUACUUUGUCAAAGCACAGAUUUCUAGAUAGCGCGAGACUGCACAGGUAGACGGGAAAAUGGUUGAGGUAAAAUUUAAGAAAUUGCGGGAUUAAGGUUUUGGGGCAGAAAAAAUAUGUUCAUUUAUAAUAAAAAUGCAUAUCAAUGA